This 78-nucleotide non-coding RNA is filed under the name Actinomycetota bacterium. RNAcentral describes it as "Actinobacteria bacterium c-di-GMP sequence". It matches the Rfam family "c-di-GMP-I-GGC riboswitch aptamer". Lineage: Bacteria; Bacillati; Actinomycetota. The record is from RNAcentral.
GCGCAUAAAGGCAAACUCGUCGCGAGGCGGGGACGCAAAGCCACGGGGCUCAAGUUUGAGUCAGCCGAGCUGCCGCCG